AGAUGGAAUAGAAUAUUGGUACAAGUUAAGAAAAUGACACAUAAGACAAGGAAAAUUCAGUUGGAAGAGAGAAUUUGUUAAAGUAACCAAUUUACCAACUUGAUAUAGAGGAUAGUUACAUUGUAACAUAAUCUGUUGUAAAAAAUUGACUUUUAGAUAUAAAUAGUGAAAGACGAAAAGGGCAAAAGUACUUUGCAUGCUAAUUAAUGUGAUUCAUUCAAUCUUCUUCUCUCUUGUACUUUGAGUCUUUCUCUUUCUCAUCUCUUCUGUUUUCUAAAUUGACAAACGAUUCCUAUCAUACAUGUUAUAUCAUGCCUCCAACAUUUAUGAAAGAAGAAGUUUAAGUAGUGAUAUAAAUUAUCAGGAAUUUGAAAAAGUAAUGAUGGUGGUAGGUGAAUUUGAAAUCUAAAUUCGUGUUUCAGUUUUGGAUAUUGAUUCAUCAGUGUGUCAAUAAAGUAUGGGUGUGUAGCUCGUUCAUUGAACAUGUCANCUCGUUCAUUAACAUGUCACACUUCCAAUCCGGAACGGUGGAAACAUUAGGGGCGGAGGACAUCAUGUACAGUAUCACAACAAUGCAUAAUAGUAAUCAAAGUACACUAACCAUUGUAUUAACAAAGUAUAAGGUUUACAUCUGUGUUCAAACCAUUGUAUAUUAACACAAAAAAGUACAAGUUAAAAGACAUGAGUCUAUAAAGCUCCGUAUUCUCAACACAUGUGGCUACCUGUUUAUUGAUUUCUUAAGAAUACAAGUAGUUUUGAAAAGACUAUCAACAAUUAAGGCGGUGAGUUCAUAAACAUGUUAGUAACUAAAAUGUGUUUUCUUGUUCCUUGAUAAUGUAAAUAUGUUUUUCCCAGAAAAUCCUAUAUUUUCUCUUGUAGUAUG
This 883-nucleotide long non-coding RNA is filed under the name Lactuca sativa (garden lettuce). RNAcentral's name for it is "long non-coding RNA (LSAT_LNC010135)". Lineage: Eukaryota; Viridiplantae; Streptophyta; Magnoliopsida; Asterales; Asteraceae. The record is from RNAcentral.